Long non-coding RNA from Oryza brachyantha (malo sina), 511 nucleotides. RefSeq lists it as uncharacterized. The record is from RefSeq and is a predicted model, not a curated record. Lineage: Eukaryota; Viridiplantae; Streptophyta; Magnoliopsida; Poales; Poaceae. The transcript is spliced from 2 exons.
GUAAAAGAGACCCAGGCGUCGUCACCAAGAGGCCAAGAAAGCGAGAGUCGCCUAGGGUUUUACUUGCUUCCUUUUAGCUCCCGCCGUCUCCGCGGAACCCUCGCCGCCACCGCCUCCCGCCUCGCGCAACCGGAGCCAGGAUGUUCCUCGGCGCGAUCCCGCGGCGGCCGAGCAAGGAGGCGGCGUACAAGCAGCUGCGCUCCCACCUCAUCGUCAUGGCCUCCUGCGUCGCCGCCAUCCGCGCCGCGCCCUACGUCCUCCACUUCCUCAACCGCGACGCGGACGUCCUCAAGCUGGAGCUCUAGGCCGUCCCCGUCCCCCGCCCGCUAGGUGCUGCUGUGAUGGACAAAUCAUCGCCUUAGUGCUCCAUGGAUGGUUUCAAAGCAAUGUUUGGAUAGGAUUUCUGCAGACCUUAUAAAACUGAAUUAGUUACAUUUGCCUGAGAGGCAUACAUCUUUCUGUACGUCGUUAUUUUAAUGGCAGUGCUUCUUGACUUGUCUGUUUUUUAAAA